Molecule: ribosomal RNA, 466 nt
Filed under: uncultured bacterium
Lineage: Bacteria
Description: partial 16S ribosomal RNA
Rfam family: Bacterial small subunit ribosomal RNA
Source: RNAcentral
GACGAACGCUGGCGGCGCGCCUAACACAUGCAAGUCGAACGAGCGAGAGAGAGCUUGCUUUCUUGAGCGAGUGGCGAACGGGUGAGUAACGCGUGAGGAACCUGCCUCAAAGAGGGGGACAACAGUUGGAAACGACUGCUAAUACCGCAUAAGCCCACGGUGCCGCAUGGCACAGAGGGAAAAGGAGCAAUCCGCUUUGAGAUGGCCUCGCGUCCGAUUAGCUAGUUGGUGAGGUAACGGCCCACCAAGGCGACGAUCGGUAGCCGGACUGGGAGGUUGAACGGCCACAUUGGGACUGAGACACGGCCCAGACUCCUACGGGAGGCAGCAGUAGGGAAUAUUGCACAAUGGGGGAAACCCUGAUGCAGCGACGCCGCGUGGAGGAAGAAGGUCUUCGGAUUGUAAACUCCUGUUGUUGGGGAAGAUAAUGACGGUACCCAACAAGGAAGUGACGGCUAACUACGUG